CCCUUAGAUGUCCUGGGCUGCACGCGCGCUACACUGAUGUGUCCAGUAAGCACCUAACCUCUUCCGAAAGGAACGGGUAACCUUUGCAAAGCACAUCGUGAUGGGGAUAGAUUAUUGCAAUUAUUAGUCUUGAACGAGGAAUUCCUAGUAAGCACAAGUCAUCAGCUUGUGUUGAUUACGUCCCUGCCCUUUGUACACACCGCCCGUCGCUCCAACCGAUUGAAUGUUCCGGUGAGCUCUUCGGACUGCGCGGUCUGCAGUUUCUGCGUUCCGUGCGGAAAGUUGCGCAAACCUUAACAUUUAGAGGAAGGAGAAGUCGUAACA
Molecule: ribosomal RNA, 324 nt
Filed under: uncultured eukaryote
Lineage: Eukaryota
Description: partial 18S ribosomal RNA
Rfam family: Eukaryotic small subunit ribosomal RNA
Source: RNAcentral